Molecule: unclassified non-coding RNA, 433 nt
Filed under: soil metagenome
Description: partial contains 5.8S ribosomal RNA, internal transcribed spacer 2, and large subunit ribosomal RNA
Rfam family: 5.8S ribosomal RNA (bases 1-120)
Source: RNAcentral
GAUGAAGAACGUAGCGAAAUGCGAUACGUAAUGUGAAUUGCAGAAUUCAGUGAAUCAUCGAAUCUUUGAACGCAUAUUGCGCUCUCUGGUAUUCCGGAGAGCAUGCUUGUUUGAGUAUCAGUAAACACCUCAACUUCCAUAUCUUUUUUGAAAUGGGAGUUGGACUUGAGUGAUCCCAACGCUUUUCCUCACCGAAAAGUGGCGGGUUACUUGAAAUGCAGGUGCAGCUGGACUUUUCUCUGAGCUAUAAGCAUAUCUAUUUAGUCUGCCUAAAAAACAGCUUAUUACCUUUGCUGCAGCUAACAUAAAGGAGAUUAGUUCUUGUGCUGACUGAUGCAGGAUUCACAAAGACAGGCUUCGGCCGACUUUGUAAACUCGAUCUCAAAUCAAGUAAGACUACCCGCUGAACUUAAGCAUAACAAUAAGCGGAGGA